This 99-nucleotide ribosomal RNA is filed under the name Zonotrichia albicollis (white-throated sparrow). Lineage: Eukaryota; Metazoa; Chordata; Aves; Passeriformes; Passerellidae. The record is from RNAcentral.
CUUGGCAAGGAUGCUCACAAAAGCUAAUAAGCCAAGCGUAGUCAAGCCUAGUUAGUAUAGAGAUGGGAAACCUCCAAGGAAAACCUAGCUCCUGCAGGA